Molecule: ribosomal RNA, 253 nt
Filed under: uncultured bacterium
Lineage: Bacteria
Description: partial 16S ribosomal RNA
Rfam family: Bacterial small subunit ribosomal RNA
Source: RNAcentral
UACGUAGGGUGCUAGCGUUGUCCGGAUUUAUUGGGCGUAAAGAGCUCGUAGGCGGUCUGUCGCGUCGGAUGUGAAAACCCAGGGCUCAACCCUGGGCCUGCAUUCGAUACGGGCAGACUAGAGUACGGCAGGGGAGACUGGAAUUCCUGGUGUAGCGGUGAAAUGCGCAGAUAUCAGGAGGAACACCGGUGGCGAAGGCGGAUCUCUGGGCCAUUACUGACGCUGAGGAGCGAAAGCGUGGGGAGCGAACAGG